CAUAAUGGUGUUUUUCUGUUCUGUACCUAAAAGGGUUGCCGGUACGGUAUAAAUCGCCCGAAAUACAUAAGCAAGAGUGCCAGUUUAGAGGGGGGUUUUAGCCUUAAGAUGCUGCCUGGACCCCCUCCCAUAAUAGGUGUCACCUUCGACUACACACUGAAGCACACACCCACCAUUUUGCUGUCAAGUUACGUUAGGUCGGCGACCUCUUGGUUCAAAUAGCCACCCUCACUUCUACUUCACAAUGCUGUUUUCUCCCUUUUUCUUUUCUUUUUUUUUUUUUUGGGGGGGGGGGGGGUUAUAUAUGUCAAUUUGAGUGGUAUAGAUUGAUUAAAAUGACACUUGAAAAUUAACUGAUUGCAAAUCGGAACAGCCAAAAUACCUAAUUUCCGCACGUACUUCACAUUGAAAAAAAGAAAACCAGUAAUCAAGUUUGUACUUUGGUAAGAUCGCUUUAGCUUGUGUCCACAUACAUGACAUGAAGAUCUUUUUUUUUGGGGGGGUCAGAACAUGACAUGAGGAUGACUUUUUGACUUUUCAACCAAUUUCUUUGUUCGUAGAUGAUUUAAUCUUUUCCCGAAGUUUUCAUUUUUUUUUUCAAGUAAACAGUUGUUGGAUAUUAAACAGCCCCAUAACUGUCCGAAACAUUCAUUGAUCAGUUCCUGAGAGAGGCUUAGAAAAG
RNAcentral lists this long non-coding RNA (682 nucleotides) under Gossypium raimondii (Peruvian cotton). Its description in RNAcentral is "long non-coding RNA (GRAI_LNC003087)". Lineage: Eukaryota; Viridiplantae; Streptophyta; Magnoliopsida; Malvales; Malvaceae. The record is from RNAcentral.